RNAcentral lists this ribosomal RNA (3163 nucleotides) under Salmonella enterica subsp. enterica serovar Derby. Its description in RNAcentral is "bacterial LSU rRNA". It matches the Rfam family "Bacterial large subunit ribosomal RNA". The record is from RNAcentral. Lineage: Bacteria; Pseudomonadati; Pseudomonadota; Gammaproteobacteria; Enterobacterales; Enterobacteriaceae.
UUAAGCGACUAAGCGUACACGGUGGAUGCCCUGGCAGUCAGAGGCGAUGAAGGACGUGCUAAUCUGCGAUAAGCGCCGGUAAGGUGAUAUGAACCGUUAUAACCGGCGAUUUCCGAAUGGGGAAACCCAGUGUGAUUCGUCACACUAUCAUUAACUGAAUCCAUAGGUUAAUGAGGCGAACCGGGGGAACUGAAACAUCUAAGUACCCCGAGGAAAAGAAAUCAACCGAGAUUCCCCCAGUAGCGGCGAGCGAACGGGGAGGAGCCCAGAGCCUGAAUCAGCAUGUGUGUUAGUGGAAGCGUCUGGAAAGGCGCGCGAUACAGGGUGACAGCCCCGUACACAAAAGCGCAUGUGUUGUGAGCUCGAUGAGUAGGGCGGGACACGUGGUAUCCUGUCUGAAUAUGGGGGGACCAUCCUCCAAGGCUAAAUACUCCUGACUGACCGAUAGUGAACCAGUACCGUGAGGGAAAGGCGAAAAGAACCCCGGCGAGGGGAGUGAAAAAGAACCUGAAACCGUGUACGUACAAGCAGUGGGAGCCCCACCACUAAGCCAGUGGUGAACUCCACAUACGCAUCCUUUGCUGAGGAUACGGUUAACGGAGCGCAAGCGACGUUCAACCGCAAAAGAAGCAGAGGGGGCUUAGUGGUGGGGUGACUGCGUACCUUUUGUAUAAUGGGUCAGCGACUUAUAUUCUGUAGCAAGGUUAACCGUAUAGGGGAGCCGGAGGGAAACCGAGUCUUAAUUGGGCGUUAAGUUGCAGGGUAUAGACCCGAAACCCGGUGAUCUAGCCAUGGGCAGGUUAGGGAAACCGAGUCUUAAUUGGGCGUUAAGUUGCAGGGUAUAGACCCGAAACCCGGUGAUCUAGCCAUGGGCAGGUUGAAGGUUGGGUAACACUAACUGGAGGACCGAACCGACUAAUGUUGAAAAAUUAGCGGAUGACCUGUGGCUGGGGGUGAAAGGCCAAUCAAACCGGGAGAUAGCUGGUUCUCCCCGAAAGCUAUUUAGGUAGCGCCUCGUGAAUUCAUCUCCGGGGGUAGAGCACUGUUUCGGCUAGGGGGCCAUCCCGGCUUACCAACCCGAUGCAAACUGCGAAUACCGGAGAAUGUUAUCACGGGAGACACACGGCGGGUGCUAACGUCCGUCGUGAAGAGGGAAACAACCCAGACCGCCAGCUAAGGUCCCAAAGUCAUGGUUAAGUGGGAAACGAUGUGGGAAGGCCCAGACAGCCAGGAUGUUGGCUUAGAAGCAGCCAUCAUUUAAAGAAAGCGUAAUAGCUCACUGGUCGAGUCGGCCUGCGCGGAAGAUGUAACGGGGCUAAACCAUGCACCGAAGCUGCGGCAGCGAACGUAUCACUUAAAGCGAUUCAGCGGGUUACGAUUGACGGAGCGAAGCGACGUCAAAGCGUAUACAAAGUCGAGUCGGUUUAAGGAUACGUUCGUUGGGUAGGGGAGCGUUCUGUAAGCCUGUGAAGGUGGCCUGUGAGGGUUGCUGGAGGUAUCAGAAGUGCGAAUGCUGACAUAAGUAACGAUAAAGCGGGUGAAAAGCCCGCUCGCCGGAAGACCAAGGGUUCCUGUCCAACGUUAAUCGGGGCAGGGUGAGUCGACCCCUAAGGCGAGGCCGAAAGGCGUAGUCGAUGGGAAACGGGUUAAUAUUCCCGUACUUGGUGUUACUGCGAAGGGGGGACGGAGAAGGCUAUGUUGGCCGGGCGACGGUUGUCCCGGUUUAAGCGUGUAGGUGUGUGUUCCAGGUAAAUCCGGUUCACUUUAACACUGAGGCGUGAUGACGAGGCACUACGGUGCUGAAGCAACAAAUGCCCUGCUUCCAGGAAAAGCCUCUAAGCAUCAGGUAACAUCAAAUCGUACCCCAAACCGACACAGGUGGUCAGGUAGAGAAUACCAAGGCGCUUGAGAGAACUCGGGUGAAGGAACUAGGCAAAAUGGUGCCGUAACUUCGGGAGAAGGCACGCUGACAUGUAGGUGAAGUGAUUUACUCAUGGAGCUGAAGUCAGUCGAAGAUACCAGCUGGCUGCAACUGUUUAUUAAAAACACAGCACUGUGCAAACACGAAAGUGGACGUAUACGGUGUGACGCCUGCCCGGUGCCGGAAGGUUAAUUGAUGGGGUCAGCGCAAGCGAAGCUCCUGAUCGAAGCCCCGGUAAACGGCGGCCGUAACUAUAACGGUCCUAAGGUAGCGAAAUUCCUUGUCGGGUAAGUUCCGACCUGCACGAAUGGCGUAAUGAUGGCCAGGCUGUCUCCACCCGAGACUCAGUGAAAUUGAACUCGCUGUGAAGAUGCAGUGUACCCGCGGCAAGACGGAAAGACCCCGUGAACCUUUACUAUAGCUUGACACUGAACAUUGAGCCUUGAUGUGUAGGAUAGGUGGGAGGCUUUGAAGUGUGGACGCCAGUCUGCAUGGAGCCGACCUUGAAAUACCACCCUUUAAUGUUUGAUGUUCUAACGUGGACCCGUAAUCCGGGUUGCGGACAGUGUCUGGUGGGUAGUUUGACUGGGGCGGUCUCCUCCUAAAGAGUAACGGAGGAGCACGAAGGUUGGCUAAUCCUGGUCGGACAUCAGGAGGUUAGUGCAAUGGCAUAAGCCAGCUUGACUGCGAGCGUGACGGCGCGAGCAGGUGCGAAAGCAGGUCAUAGUGAUCCGGUGGUUCUGAAUGGAAGGGCCAUCGCUCAACGGAUAAAAGGUACUCCGGGGAUAACAGGCUGAUACCGCCCAAGAGUUCAUAUCGACGGCGGUGUUUGGCACCUCGAUGUCGGCUCAUCACAUCCUGGGGCUGAAGUAGGUCCCAAGGGUAUGGCUGUUCGCCAUUUAAAGUGGUACGCGAGCUGGGUUUAGAACGUCGUGAGACAGUUCGGUCCCUAUCUGCCGUGGGCGCUGGAGAACUGAGGGGGGCUGCUCCUAGUACGAGAGGACCGGAGUGGACGCAUCACUGGUGUUCGGGUUGUCAUGCCAAUGGCACUGCCCGGUAGCUAAAUGCGGAAGAGAUAAGUGCUGAAAGCAUCUAAGCACGAAACUUGCCCCGAGAUGAGUUCUCCCUGAGACUUAAAGUCUCCUGAAGGAACGUUGAAGACGACGACGUUGAUAGGCCGGGUGUGUAAGCGCAGCGAUGCGUUGAGCUAACCGGUACUAAUGAACCGUGAGGCUUAACCUU